CUCUUUGGUUAUCUAGCUGUAUGAUUUAUAUUUUACUUCAUAAAGCUAGGUUACCAAAGCU
RNAcentral lists this microRNA precursor (61 nucleotides) under Capitella teleta. RNAcentral's name for it is "mir-9/mir-79 microRNA precursor family". It matches the Rfam family "mir-9/mir-79 microRNA precursor family", at positions 11 to 68 of the family's 78-position model. From Rfam's summary of the family: The mature ~21nt miRNAs are processed from hairpin precursor sequences represented here. miR-9 is processed from the 5' arm of its precursor, and miR-79 from the 3' arm. The bounds of the precursors are predicted based on conservation and base pairing and are not generally known. The record is from RNAcentral. Lineage: Eukaryota; Metazoa; Annelida; Polychaeta; Capitellidae.